RNAcentral lists this ribosomal RNA (468 nucleotides) under uncultured bacterium. RNAcentral describes it as "partial 16S ribosomal RNA". It matches the Rfam family "Bacterial small subunit ribosomal RNA", at positions 28 to 507 of the family's 1533-position model. The record is from RNAcentral.
GACGAACGCUGGCGGCGUGCCUAACACAUGCAAGUCGAACGGAAAGGCCCUGCUUUUGUGGGGUGCUCGAGUGGCGAACGGGUGAGUAACACGUGAGUAACCUGCCCUUGACUUUGGGAUAACUUCAGGAAACUGGGGCUAAUACCGGAUAGGAGCUCCUGCUGCAUGGUGGGGGUUGGAAAGUUUCGGCGGUUGGGGAUGGACUCGCGGCUUAUCAGCUUGUUGGUGGGGUAGUGGCUUACCAAGGCUUUGACGGGUAGCCGGCCUGAGAGGGUGACCGGCCACAUUGGGCCUACGAUACGGCCCAGUCUCCUACGGGCGGCAGCAGUGGGGAAUAUUGCACAGUGGGCGGAAGCCUGAUGCAGCGACGCCGCGUGCGGGAUGACGGCCUUCGGGUUGUAAACCGCUUUCGCCUGUGACGAAGCGUGAGUGACGGUAAUGGGUAAAGAAGCACCGGCUAACUACGUG